AAUAGUAAACUUUUGGAAACAAGGUAACAAGUCAGCAUCUACAAUCUUUUGUGAAACUUGAAAAGGAUUGUUCGAUAACGUCAAGAAAAAUUUCCCGAUACGACAUUAUCUCAUGAUGUAACUGAAUACCAUCAAAAUCACUUUUUAACACAUUAUUUUCAUUUGAUUGGAAUUUCACAUCCAAAUUCAUACAUGAUUUCAUUAAGGACUUUCGGCCGCCUCUCUAAAUCCACAAGUAGAUUCAAUUUCAAUUGAAAGCUCUAAUUAAGCAUGGAACUGAAAAACGUGCACCGGUAAGUAAAUAAAGAAAGAAAAUAGGUUUGUAGUAUCAUGGUAACGAUAUGAUAAUUCGUGACUUUAGUCAAAUGUUUUCUUAAGGUCCUUUUAGACGGUCAUAUCUGUUCUCAGUUCAGUUUCAAUUUCCAUUAUCGUUUCAUUUCAUUUCGGGAAACUAGAUUCUUUUACACGAUGCGUUCAGUUCUCACUGUUCCCAAUCGUUUCAGUUCUUUGUAACCCGUUGAGUUGCGCGCAAAAAUUCAUUAAUUAAAAGUGUUCAACAUAUACAUUGUUCAUUCCGGUUUAAAAGUGUACAUUUGUGGUAUCACAAUUCAUGGAUGAAGUGACUGACUGUCUUAUUGCGACAGCUUUAGUUUUGAUUCUAAAGAAAAAGCUUGGACAUAGCGACAGACCCAUACGUACACCGUACAAAAUUUUCAAGAAAACUGACGCGAGUCGUGACGAUCUUGUUUUUACAUAUAGGAUUUCUGACAAAUGAAAUGAAACAAAUAGGUCUAUUCAUCCCGUCAGUUUUCAGUCUUCGUUUCAGUUUUCCUUUCACUGUUUACUUUUUAAACAUAGGAAAAACUGACAGUUCGAGUGAAACUGAAACUGAACUGAGAACAGAUAUGACCGUCUAAAAUGACCUUUACACGUGUGAUAUCCUCAAGAAUACUACGCAAACAUACGACUCCACUGCAGCACGUGCAUUUCUUCUUUACUCAGCAAGUAUAAAUAUAUACCUAUUUUCUUUUCAUAUGACGGUCCAUCGUGAUACUUUAGAACCCCCAUUAUCUAAACAGUAUACAUUUCUUCCUUAACGUUGCAUUUUCUUUCUUAACGAAGCAGAUACGCGCAUAGAAUAUCCGACAACGAUUUUAUUACAAGAAUUUUAUAUUUAUACUGAUUGUAUUCAGAAAAUGGACGAAGUUAGUGACAGUAUCUGUGAAGAUGUGUCUCCCAGAGAUAGAUAAAAUUCACACCUGGACGCAAACUUUCUAAUACUGAAUAAAAGAUAAACAACAUAAAAAUUGAAAGUAUAAAAUAAAAUUGCGUUUUAGAAAUCAAUCAAACGUCGCUAAUAAAUCACUAUACCGUAUUUUUAUUCCAACAGAAUUUUGGAUUUCAAAGAAAUAAUGUGACUUUGCAUGUUUUGUUACUGACAUGUUAUAUUAAUAUUUCGCGAAUUAUUUUCUCGAUGGAUCCAACGAGUCCUCGAAUCAAUCGUCACGCGAUUAUUGUUCAGUGUUUACCCUCCCCCCGUCCUUUGUUCUCUUCUUCGACAGUUAUGUAUCUUCUAUCUUGUAUUGAUCUCAAGUGAUUAACUAUACAUGCAUAGUUAUCGCACUAAUACAUACUUCUUACUUAUUUCCAUCUUCUUAUCAUAACUUUGUCUUACAUGACUUCUACAUUGUUUUUUAAUACUGUUCGCAGAAUCACUUAACUCUCAUAUCUGUGGGGACCUGCUAGUCUCCUUAUAGCUCGGGUACCUCGGGAUCGCUAAACCCGUACUGUAGCUGCAUAUGUAUUCGCAUUCUACAGCCCCUGAGGGUGACAGAUACGGUUAUUUAACAUAAUUUAAUAUAAAGGAAAUAGAAAUUAUUUCAUACUUUUAAGCAAUUCAAUCUAGAACUGGUGUAUGGUGGAGCGAUAUACCGCUCCUUGGCACUGAAAUGGUUAAAAGGAGGUUCGUCUACGUUUAAAGAAAGGAAACAGAGAAUCGUAUGUCGAACGGUUAUAGAGAUGAAAAUUUAUCAGCAAGAUAUAUCAGUUCAGCGAACAUCGAAAUAAUAUCAGUUUCAUUCGGCUGAUGUAAACGGCGCCUAAACAUGACGUUAUCCACUCUGUUAACGACAAGCCUAUGAAAUCUAUUCCAAAGAAAUAUCCGGUCAAGAUAUUACAAACGAGGAAACCUUCAUACUCAAAACGCUAGGUUAAUAAUGAAUUAAAAUAACUACUCAGUUUACUUGGAAAAAACCAAAGAGUAACUACUUUAUCAAAUUUAUCUUGCACACUCACAAAAAGAAGAAGACAAGAUUUAACAAGAUUCAGGCCAAAUAAUAAUAUAAUUCUAUUUAUAAGGAGUCACUGAAAUUUUUGUUUGUUUUAUUGGAUGGAUCUGAGCGGAAGUAAAGUUUGAGAAACACUAUAUUUAUUAGACGAUCUACUACAGUAUGUACCAAAUACCUCGUUUAUAUUUUGAUAGUUUGGUAGACAUUUCUAUAUUCUGCAUAAAGUUUUAAAUUUUGUUUAUAAAUGUUUCGUGAAAUAUUGAACUUGUGAAAGUAACACACCUCUAUUCACUUUCUGUCAAGUAUAUUCGAUCGUUUUAAAUAAUUUUCAAGUAUUUCCUUUGCUUGGUUUUAUGUAGCUAAAUUAUGUACAUGUAUGUAAACCGAUUUAAUGUUGUUCACAAACAAAUUAUAUCUUAACAUUUCGGUAGGAGAUAAAAUUAAUUGUUAUGUUUCAUUAAGAAAUACACGAUUCUUCCUUGUUGAAGUGCAAAACAUUAUCCGAGAUUUCUUUUCACUUUCAAUGCUACUAUAAUAUUAAUAUUAUACACAAGCAAAUUUAUAUUGCACAAUUUAUUAUACACGAUUAGAUUGUAAUUACGGUAGUAGCGAUGAUACUUGUGCUUCUCGAAACUCAGAAAGCAAUAACAUUUAUAUGUAGUAAGUCCGCAAUGUUAUUAUUUGUAACGUUUUUCAUCUGUGCAUGUUCGAAAUUUCUUUUUGCUGUUACAUAAUCCACUACAAGCAUAUAAAACUAGAUCUCGGGUAAUGGUACCAAUCUACCAAGGUAUCAUCUCAUACGAUAUUUUGGGAUUCCCAGUAUUAUAUUUCAAAUGAAAAUUAAAAUGAUGCAAUGUCGAUGAAAUGUUAAUGUACGCCCCAAUAAUGCAAGAGCUGGCUACUCGCACAUCUUCCCAACGUCAAUUCAGUAAAGUAAUUUUUAUCCUUAAACGAUUAACUCGGCGUUGCGAAAUAUUAGGUGAUAAAUUUAAUUUUUACCGUUUUUACAUCGACAAAAUUGAUUUAUUUCGACGGGAAGAUGAACAAACGAAGAGCACAACAUUUGCAAUGACUCUAAAAAGAUAGAUACAUAUUUCGAGAAUGUUGUGUAAGAAUUUGAAAAAGAAAUCUCUAUAAUUUCCAGAGUUACCUUAUCGCGGUUCAUUUUUAAUUGAGUAGAAAAUCUCUUUGGUAUGGAGAAAUCUAACAUGUAAGAACAAAGUCACUUUCAACGGUGUCUAAACUAGUAGCUCUAAUAACGAGCUACAAGAAUUUAAUUUACCACCUAAUACUCGUUACUUGAUCAUUGCUGUCCAUCUAGGGCCUAAGGGAUUCUACUCGAAGCCAGGGAAGCGUUACAUUUAGACAACCCAACGAGUAUAAAUACUGGUUAUGUUAAUCGCUUGUACUGUGCACGUUAUAUAAAUCAAAUGGAGAUCAUUUAACGAAGCAUUACUGUUCGUCCUACUAGGAAGUUUUAGCGGUAACUGCUCUUUUCUUUUAUUAUUAAAACUACAGAGAGUCACCGCAUGUCUAUUCUAUACUUCUAGAUAUUUUAAAUUAAAAGGGAGAGAAGCAAUUUAAUUUAUCGAUAUAAUUAGUAAGUUGUUGCAAUAACUGUUGGCAAAAAUGUCAGCAAAUGCAUUGUUAAUACUUGACUAACUUUAAAGAGAAGUUCAAAAUAAAUGUGUCGAUCUACCAAUAUAAUUACUACCAUAUUAGUACCAUUGUUAAUAAUUGAUUAAUUUUAAAAAGAAGUUCAAAACACCUAAAUAUAUUAAAUUGAUCGGCUUGGUAAUUUUAAUGUUAAAUAAUAGAAAUUAUAUAUUAAUUCUAGUUAUGUUACACUUGAAAUAAUUGUUCUUGAAAAAGCCAUAUAUUCUAUACUGAAACAUUGACUAAUAAAUCGUCUUAUAUCGCAACGAGUUAUUAUUCUUUCUUACCACAUAGACUCAAAUUGCUUUGUUAACGAGGAAAAUAAUUACUACAUAUGAAUUAUCUAACCACGUAAGCAUCACUUAAUUGCAGAAAUCUACGCGUACUCUCUACUCUUGUGUAUCUCGUAUUCAGCUGUGUCAGUGACAUUGUAUCAGGGUGUUUCACGAUUACGUUGUUCUCGUCACAGUCGGAUUUAACCUGAUCGUAAACCAUAACGAGACAGAUCACAUGUUUCUCUUUGUCAAAGAUACAGUCACUAAUGAAGAAAUAAUUCAUGGCUAAUACUGCUUUAAAUGGUAGCAUGUCGAUCGAACAAUCAAUGGCGAAAGUCGCAUGACGUUAAGAAGUCGUAUGACUCGACACUUAUCGUUAGAAAAAGUCCUUUCGUCAUCACCGUUGCAUCAUUUCUCUCUCAAAAAGUGCGUCGUUAUACUUAAUCAUAUUACUAUUUAUUAUAUCAUUACUUGAUUCUUAUUCGUUAUUCCAUUUUUAUUCAUUCAAGUGCUAUCAAAAACAUAGAAAACAGUUCUGUUUGUUCUGGAAAUAUACAUCGUAAUUUUGUCUUAACUUCAUACAAGUUCAACCACUUAACUUUGCCUCCUCAAAUAGCUCUUCAAUGGACUAUCGUACAUGUAUAAAAUUUGUUCAUGCAAUAGUUGCGUGAUAUCAAAGGGACAACUGUACAAAUAAUCAAUCGCUUUUACUUUGUUGGUUCACAGAGGUAUCGGGGUCAUCUUCGAUUUCUUUUUAAUUCCUUCAAUUCCUUAAAAAAAGGUGUCUUACGAAAACGUGUCAUAUAGAAUUAAAAUAUCUUACGAGUAGACUUUGAGACAUAGUAUUCCAUAUGGAACUCGUUAAGGCUACCGUUACCUAUUAAUUAAAAUGGUCAACUUUGGACAAGUGCCGUAGUCAUUGCGCUUUAUAAAUGAAACGAACGAGGGAAUGGAAGUGUUUUCUACCACUCUAGGCAUUUUCCAAUAACUUGCAUACAAAAAAUAAAAGGUACUAUGACGAUCACCACGAAUGACUUUUGUUCACUUAUUGUUAGAUUGACUAUUUGUCAUGAAGGCUUUCUAUUUAGCCAAACGAAUGGCUGUUUCGAGCAUAUCCUGCAAAAGCAAGCUACUCCACAUUCUUGGACCACAACAAUGUCUAUAACUCAAGAAAGAAUCAAAUAGUGUAGAGUAAACAUAACGGUCCAUAAUACUUGACUUAUAAGAUUUCUGUGUGAAAUGAAUUGUAAUAAUUACCAAAUGUACUUUGAAACGUACCUGAAAUACUCUCAAAAUAAAAAAAAACAACUAUACAUAAACUUUUCUGAUUAAAAAAAAAACACUCCAAGAAACUCUUAAUCCUUGGCCUCAUAAUGUGAUUUCCUCCCUUCCAUAUGUUUUCCAUAGUCUCUUUUUACAAUAUUCAUUAAUUUCUUUCUUUACAAUGCUUUGCAUUCUCUUCAUUCUCUGAUAUCCUCAUUAGAUAUGAUAAUAGUUUGUUGGGGUUCACUGGUCCCCUAUAGCCCUCGUGUACCUCGGGAUUGCUAAACACGUACUGUAGCUACAAUCAAACAUAGCUACAACCCCUGAGAGCCACACUAGCCUAAAGUACGGACAA
Hylaeus anthracinus is the source of this 5837-nucleotide RNA transcript. RefSeq lists it as uncharacterized. The record is from RefSeq and is a predicted model, not a curated record. NCBI's taxonomy places the organism in Eukaryota, Metazoa, Arthropoda, Insecta, Hymenoptera, Colletidae. The transcript is spliced from 3 exons.